CCGGAAUAGAGAUAAGCUGCUCUCUCCAUUCUCCUUUCCAUCUGCCAUUUCCAACCAAUAUGGCUAAGCUUGUGCUUCUCAUCCGAGGAGCUGCGCUGCUGCUUUGUCUAUCGAUCUCCCAAACAGCUUCCACUUCCCAUGUUCAAGCGAGUGUGUCAGGAGCCUGCAUCAGCAGCGAGCGAGAUGCGCUUCUGUCCUUCAAGGCAAGCCUCCUCGACCCUGCUGGCCAUCUCUCGUCAUGGCAGGGUGAGGAUUGUUGCCAAUGGAAGGGAGUCCGGUGCAGCAACAGAACUGGCCAUCUCAUCAAGCUCAACCUCCGCAACAUCGACAUGUACGGCAUGGGCUACUACAUGUACGCCACGGGCUACUAUAUGUAUGAGUACGGCUACUACAACUACAAGUACAACUACCCGAACAGGAGCAGAUCAUUGAGCUUGUCGGCAGGCAAGAUGAGCUCUUCUUUGGCUACUUUACAACACCUGAGGUAUCUCGAUCUGAGCUGCAAUGACUUCAACGGCACAAGCAUCCCCAUGUUCUUGACUUCUCUCAAGAACCUAAGGUAUCUCAACCUCUCGUAUGCAGGAUUCAGUGGGAGAAUACCUUCCCAACUUGGCAAUCUGUCAAAGUUGCAAUAUCUUGAUCUCAGUUGGAAUUAUUAUUAUCAUUAUGGGAGGAAUAGGUCUUACACAAUGGAUCUUGCAUGGUUGCCACGUCUUUCUUUGUUGAGUCAUCUUGAGAUGAGCUAUGUGGAUCUUAGCUCUGUGAGGGAUUGGUUUGAGAUGGUUAACAUGCUUCCUUCUCUUAAAGUGCUUCGCUUGUCCGACUGUGGACUCAAUGGUACCGUGUCUGCUAGUAUAUCAAUUUCCAACCUCACACAUCUCGAGGUCCUUGAUAUGUCCACUAACACCAUCAGAAUACCUUCCCAAUUUGGAAAUCUCUCAAAGUUGCAAUAUCUUGAUGUGAGUGGGAAUUAUUAUGCUGAUGUGGAUCUUGCAUGGUUGCCACGUCUAUCUUUGUUGAGAUAUCUUGACAUGAGUUUUGUGGAUCUUGGUUCUGCGAGGGAUUGGUUUCGGAGUGUUAAUAUGCUUCCUUCUCUUAAAGUGCUUCGCUUGUCCUUUUGUGGACUCAAUGGUACCAUGUCUGCAAGUAUAUCACUUUUCAACCUCACACACCUCAAAUUCCUUGAUAUGACUUAUAACACCUUCCACACUUCACUCAGGCAUGCGUGGUUUUGGAAUCUCACAGGCCUUAAAGAGCUUUACCUCUCAGAUUCCAGCUUGGAAGGGUCCAUUCCUAGUGAUUUGGCAAAUAUGGCGUCCCUUCAAGUCAUAGACUUUAGUUGGAACAAUCUUGUGGGUUUGAUACCAACGAAAAUAGAAAAUUUGUGCAAUUUGACGAGAAUGAGGUUUGAUGGUAACAACAUAGGUUCGAGCAUAGGGGAGUUCAUGGGGCGAUUGCCAAAGUGCUCACGGAAUACACUGCAAGAAUUGUCAGUGCGGGGUGGAAAUAUGACUGGGAAUCUUCCCAUUUGGAUAGGGAACAUGACCAAUCUUAGUGUUCUUGAAGCAUCUGAAAACAUGUUGACUGGCCCUCUGCCUGUAGGACUUGGAGCACUGGGUAAUUUGGAAAUGUUGGACCUCAGCUACAAUAAGUUCAGUGGUGUGAUGUUGAAAGAACAUUUUGCAAGCUUAGGCAAAUUAGAGUUUUUGUACCUCAACUCCAAUAAGUUCAGCGGUGUGCUAUUGAAAGAACAUUUUGCAAGUUUAGGCAACUUAAAGCUUUUGGAACUCAGCCACAAUAACUUCUAUAGUGUGAAAGACCAAUUUGCAAGGUUAGGCAACUUAAAGGUUUUGGAUCUCAGCUACAAUAACUUGAACAGUGUAAAAGUUCAAUUUGCAAGCUUAGGCACAUUAGAGCGUUUGGACCUUAGCCACAAUAGCUUGAGCGGUGUGCUAUUGAAAGAACAUUUUGCUGGUUUAGGCAACUUAAAGGUUUUGUUUCUUAGCUACAAUAACUUCAACAGUGUGAAAGAACAAUUUGCAAGCUUAGGCAAAUUAGAGCAUUUGGACCUUAGCCACAAUAACUUGAGCAGUGUGCUAUGAUACGUCUCCAACGUAUCUAUAAUUUUUGAUUGCUCCAUGCUACUUUAUCUACUGUUUUAGGCAAUAUUGGGAUUUAUUAUCCACUUUUAUAUUAGUUUUGGGACUAACCUAUUAACCGGAGGCCCAGCCCAGAUUUGCUGUUUUAUGCCUAUUUCAGUGUUUCGAGGAAAAGGAAUAUCAGACGGAGUCAAACGGAACGAAAUCAACUGGAGAAGUUAUUUUUGGAAGGAAAGCAACCCAGGGAACUUGGAGUGCACGUCAGGGGAGAGAUGGGCUGCCCACGAGGGUGGGAGGCGCGCCCCCUGCCUCGUGGGACCCCCGUAGUUCCACCGAGGUACCCCCUGCACCCAUAUAUACCUACGUACCCAAAAACUUCCAGAAUAGAACCUAGAUCGGGAGUUACGCCGCCGCAAGCCUCCAGAACCACGAAAAACCAAUCGGGACCCUGUUCCGGCACCCUGCCGGAGGGGAGAUCCUUCACUGGUGGCCAUCUUCAUCAUCCCGGCGUUAUCCAUGACGAGGAGGGAGUAGUUCACCCUCGGGGCUGAGGGUAUGUACUAGUAGCUAUGUGUUUGAUCUCUCUCUCUCUCUCUCGUGUUCUCUCUCGUGUUCCUCUAUGGCACGAUCUUGAUGUAUCCCGAGCUUUGCUAUUGUAGUUGGAUUUUAUGAUGUUUCUCCCUCUCUACUCUCUUGUGAUGAAUUGAGUUUCCCCUUUGAAGUUAUCUUAUCGGAUUGAGUCUUUUAUGAGAACACUUGAUGUAUGUCUUGGUGAUCAACUUGCGGGUUUCGUGACAUUGGGAACCUAUACAUAGGGGUUGGCACACGUUCUUGACUUUCCGGUAGUAGCUUUGAGGCACUCUUUCAAGUACUUUUAUGUUGGUUGGAUGAAUCUGAGAUUGUGUGAUGCAUAUCAUAUAAUCAUGCCCACGGAUACUUGAGGUGACAAUGGAGUAUCUAGGUGACAUUAGGGGUUUGGUUGAUUUGUGUCUUAAGGUGUUAUUCUAGUACGAACUCUUUUAUAGAUCGAUCAGAAAGGAUAACUUUGAGGUGGUUUCGCACCCUACCAUAAUCUCUAUGUUUGUUCUCCGCUAUUAGUGGAUUUGGAGUGACUCUUUGUUGCAUGUUAAGGGCUUGUUAUAUGAUCUAUCUAUGUUAUUAUUGUUGAGAGAACUUGCACUAGUGAAAGUAUGAACCCUAGACCUUGUUUCCUAACAUUGCAAUACCAUUUACGCUCACUUUUACCGCUCGCUACCUUGCUGUUUUUAUUAUUUCAGAUUACAAAAACCUAUAUCUAGUAUCUAUUUUGCACUUGUAUCACCAUCUCUUCGCCGAACUAGUGCACCUAUACAAUUUACCAUUGUAUAGGGUGUGUUGGGGACACAAGGGACUCUUUGUUAUUUGGUUGCAGGGUUGUUUGAGAGAGACCCUCUUCAUCCUACGCCUCCUACGGAUUGAUAAACCUUAGGUCAUCCACUUGAGAGAAAUUUGCUACUGUCCUACAAACAUGUGCACUUACAGGCCCAACAACGUCUACAAGAAGAAGGUUGUGUAGUAGACAUCAAGCUCUUUUCUGGCGCCGUUGCCGGGGAGGUUAGCGCUUGAAGGUAUAUCUUUAGAUCUUUCAACCGAAUCUUUUUGUUUCUUGUUUUAGCACUAGUUUAGUUUAUAAAAGAAAACUACAAAAAAAUGGAGUUAAGUUUGUCUCAUACGCUUCGUCUUUUUAAUAUCUUUCCUGAGUAUGAUGGAAAGGAAAAUUGUGCUCAAGUGCUAGAAGAAGAAUUACAUAGAAUGCUUGGCAUAAAAUAUGUGAAUGAUGAGCAUGAUUGCAAUGUUGUUAGUAUGAAUUCCUUGAAUAUCCAUGAUGCUAAUGAUAUGCAAAGCCACAAGCUUGGGGAAGCUAUGUUUGAUGAAUAUGAUAUUUUUAGCCCCCAAAGUUUUGAUGAGAAAAUUUACUAUGAUGAAAGCAUGCCUCCUAUCUAUGAUGAUUAUUGUGAUGACGCGUAUGCUUUAAAGAAUAAUUAUAACCAUGAAACUUGUCAUCUUGAUCUUAAUUUUCAAUCACAUGAUAGUUAUUUUGUUGAGUUUGCUCCCACUACUAUUCAUGAGAAGAAAUUUGCUUAUGUGGAGAGUAGUAAAUUUUCUAUACUUGUAGAUCAUGAAAAGAAUGCUUUAGGUGCUGGUUAUAUUGUUGAAUUAAUUCAUGAUGCUACUGAAAAUUAUUAUGAGAGAGGAACAUAUACUUGUAGGAAUUGCAAUAAUGUCAAGUUUCCUCUCUAUGUGCUUAAAUUCUUGAAGCUAUGCUUGUUGUGCCAUCCUAUGCUAGUUGAUUAUUGUUCCCAUAAGUUGUUUGCUCACAAAAUCCCUAUGCAUAUGAAGUGGGUUAGACUUAAAUAUGCUAGUCAUAUGCUUCAUGAUGCUCCCGUUAUGUUUCAAUUCUUAUCUUUUUUUGUGAGCAUCAUUGUCAUCAUCAUGCCUAGCUAAAAGGCAUUAAAAAAAGCGCUUGUUGGGAGACAACGCAAUAUUUAUCCUUACUGUUUUUGUGUGUCCACAUGAUUAUGCUACUGUAUUAAUCAUGUUCUAUAGCUUUUGUUUCAAUAAAGUGCCAAGUAGAACCUUUGGGAAGACUUGGGUGAAGUUUAUAUGAUCUUGCUGUGAAAAACAGAAACUUUAGCGCUCACGAGCUUAGCUGCCAUUUUUUUACUGGGAGUGCUUUUAGGUUGAUUCUUUUUGAAGAUGAUUAAUAGACAAAUUUCUCAGGUCCAGCAAUUUAUUUCAUAAUUUUUGGGGUUCCAGAAGUAUACGUUUGAUAUAGAUUACUACAGGCUGUUCUGUUUUUGACAGAUUCUGUUUUCUAUAUGUUGUUUGCUUAUUUUGAUGCAUCUAUGGCUAGUAUUAAGUGGUAUGAACCAUAGAGAUGUUAGAAUACAGUAGAUAUAACACCAAUAUGAAUUUAGAAUGAGUUCAUUACAGUAUCUAAGUGGUGGUUUUAUUUUCUUAUACUAACGGAGCUUGCGAGUUCUGUUUUGAGUUUUGUGUGGUUGAAGUUUUCAAGUUUUGGGUAAAUAUUCGAUGGAUUAUGGAAUAAGGAGUGGAAAGAGCCUAAGCUUGGGGAUGCCCAAGGCACCCCAAGGUAAUAUUUAAGGACAACCAAGAAACUAAGCUUGGGCAUGCCCCGGAAGGCAUCCCCUCUUUCGUCUUCGUUCAUCGGUAACUUUACUUGGAGCUAUAUUUUAUUCGCCACAUGAUAUGUGUUUUACUUGGAGCGUCAUUUUAUUUUGCUAGUUUUUGCUUUCUGUUAGUUAGAAUAAUGUUUUGCAUCUUUAGUUUCAAUAAAAAAACUCAAGGAUAGCCUUUGCCAUGCUUAUUUUGCUAGUUUGCAUGUUGCUGUUUGAAAACAGAAAGUUUACCUCUGUUGCAAAAAUUCCCUAGAAAAGUCAGAGAAAGGUAUAACGUUGAAUAUUUUUGUAUAUUAAGCUCUGAUAAAUUUAUUACAGUUGGAAUUUUAGUUCAUAAUUUUUGGAGUUAGGGAAGUAUGAUUACUCUUGCAUUCUUUACAGACUGUACUGUUUUGGCAGAUUGCUGUUAUGGUUGCAUUGUUUGCAUAUGUUUGCUUGUUUAAUGAUUCUAUUUGAGGAUAGGAGUAUUAAAUAUGCAGAGGAAUUUAGUAUGCAAUGUUGAAUAAUAAUUUAAGUGAUUUGUUAUAGUAGAAGAUGAUAAGGUUUUGCAUUGGUUUAUACUAACCUAUCUCACGAGUUCUUGUUGAGUUUGUUGUGAAUGAAGCUUUUGAUAAAAAGAAGAGAAACCAUGAUAUGAGAGGAAUUAAGGAGAUAAAAGCUUAAGAUUGGGGAUGCCCAAGGCACCCCAAGAUAAUAUUUCAAGAAGUCUCAAGCAUCUAAUCUUGGGGAUGCCCCGGUAGGCAUCCCACCUUUAUUCUUCAACAAUCAUCGGUUAGUAUCGGUUGAGCCUAAGUUUUUGCUUCUUCACAUGAGUUGUGCUAUCCUUGCAUUGUCAUUUAUUUUGUUUUGCUUGCUGUUUGAAUAAGAUACCAAGAUCUGAAAUUCUUUAAUGAGAGAUAGCCAUACACAAAUUGGAAUUUGCUAGAAUACUCUAUGUGCUUCACUUAUAUCUUUUGAGCUUGAUAGUUUUGCUCAUAGUGCUUCACUUAUAUCUUUUGAGCGUGAUAAUUUUUGCUCUAGUGCUUCACUCAUAUCUUUUAAAGCACGGUGGUGGAUUUGUUUUAAAGAAACUAUUGAUCUCUCAUGCUUCACUUAGAUUAUUUUGAGAGUUGUUAAUAGCAUGGUAAUUUGCUUAAUGUUAAUAUACUUGGUAUUCAAGAUAUGUGAAACUUUCUUUUGAGUGCGUUGAAUACUAAGAUAAGUUUGAUGCUUGAUAAUUGUUUUGAGAUAUGGAGGUGAUAAUAUCAAACCAAUGCUAGUUGGGGUGACCAUGAAUUUAAAGAAUGCUUGUGUUGAAGUUUGUGAUUCCCGUAGCAUGCACGUAUGGUGAACCGCUUUGUGAUGAAGUCGGAGCACAAUUUUAUUUAUUGAUUGUCUUCCUUAUGAGUGGCAGUCGGGGACGAGCGAUGGUCUUUUCCUACCAAUCUAUCCCCCUAGGAGCAUGCGCGUAGUACUUGAAUUUUUGAUGACUUCUAAAUUUUUGCAAUAAGUAUAUGAGUUCUUUUGAUUAAUGUUGAGUCCAUGGAUUAUACGCACUCUCACCCUUCCACUUUUGCUAGCCUCUCUAAUACUGCGCACUUUUCGCCGGUAUCAUACACCCACCAUAUACCUUCCUCAAAACAGCCACCAUACCUACCUAUCAUGGCAUUUUCGUAGCCAUUCCGAGAUAUAUUGCCAUGCAACUUUCCACCGUUCCAUUCAUAUGACACACAUUACUUUUGUCAUAUUGCUUUUUGCAUGAACAUGUAGUUGACAUAGUAUUUGUGGCAAGGCCACCUUCAUAAUUUUCAUACAUGUUACUCUUGAUUCAUUGCAUAUCCCGGUCUACUGCCGGAGGCAUUCAUAUAGAGUCAUAUCUUGUUCUAAGUAUCGAGUUGUAAUUGUUGAGUUGUAAGAAAAAUAAAAGUGUGAUGAUCAUCAUUAUUGGAGCAUUGUCCCAGUGAGGAAAGGAUGAUGGAGACUAUGAUUCCCCCAUAAGUCGGGAUGAGACUCCGGACUUUAUGAAAAAUAAAAGAGGCCAAAGAAGACCAAAUAAAAAAAAGAGUGGCCAUAAAAAAAAGAGAAAGACCAAAUAAAAAAAUAAAAAAAUGAGAGAAAAAGAGAGAAGGGACAAUGCUACUAUCCUUUUUCCACACUUGUGCUUCAAAGUAGCACCAUGAUCUUCAUGAUAGAGAGUCUCAUAUGUUGUCACUUCCAUAUACUAGUGGGAAUUUUUCAUUAUAGAACUUGGCUUGUAUAUUCCAAUGAUGGGCUUCCUCAAAAGUGCCCUAGGUCUUCGUGAGCAAGCAAGUUGGAUGCACACCCACUUAGUUUCUUUUUGUUGAGCUUUCAUAUACUUAUAGCUCUAGUGCAUCCGUUGCAUGGCAAUCCCUACUCACUCACAUUGAUAUCUAUUAAUGGGCAUCUCCAUAGCCCAUUGAUACGCCUAGUUGAUGUGAGACUAUCUUCUCCUUUUUGUCUUCUCCACAACCACCAUUCUAUUCCAUCUAUAGUGCUAUGUCCAUGGCUCAUGCUCAUGUAUUGCGUGAAAGUUUAAAAAGUUUGAGAUUACUAAAGUAUGAAACAAUUGCUUGGCUCAUCAUCGGGGUUGUGCAUGAUUAAAUACUUUGUGUGAUGAAGAUAGAGCAUAGCCAGACUAUAUGAUUUUGUAGGGAUAACUUUCUUUAACCAUGCUAUUUUGAGAAGACAUGAUUGCUUUAAUUUGUAUGCUUGAAGUAUUAUUACUUUUAUGUCAAUAUGAACUUUUGUCUUGAAUCUUUCGGAUCUGAAUAUUCAUAUCACAAUUAAGAAGAUUUGCAUUGAAAUUAUGCCAAAGUAUCACUCCGCAUCAAAAAUUCUUUUUUAUCAUUUACCUACUCGAGGACGAGCAAGAAUUAAGCUUGGGGAUGCUUGAUACGUCUCCAACGUAUCUAUAAUUUUUGAUUGCUCCAUGCUACUUUAUCUACUGUUUUAGGCAAUAUUGGGCUUUAUUAUCCACUUUUAUAUUAUUUUUGGGACUAACCUAUUAACCGGAGGCCUAGCCCAGAUUUGCUGUUUUAUGCCUAUUUCAGUGUUUCGAGCAAAAGGAAUAUCAGACGGAGUCAAAACGGAACAAAAUCAACUGGAGAAGUUAUUUUUGGAAGGAAAGCAACCCAGGGAACUUGGAGUGCACGUCAGGGGAGAGACGGGCUGUCCACGAGGGUGGGGGACGCGCCCUCCUGGGCGCGCCCCCCUGCCUCGUGGGACCCCCGUAGCUCCACCGACGUACCCCCUGCACCCAUAUAUACCUACGUACCCAAAAACUUCCAGAACAAAACCUAUAUCGGGAGUUCCGCUGCCGCAAGCCUCCAGUACCACGAAAAACCAAUCGGGACCCUAUUUCAACACCCUGCCGGAGGGGGGAUCCUUCACCGGUGGCCAUCUUCAUCAUCCCGGCGCUAUCCAUGACGAGGAGGGAGUAGUUCACCCUCGGGGCAGAGGGUAUGUACCAGUAGCUAUGUGUUUGAUCUCUCUCUCUCGUGUUCUCUCUCGUGUUCCUCUAUGGCACGAUCUUGAUGUAUCCCGAGCUUUGCUAUUGUAGUUGGAUUUUAUGAUGUUUCUCCCCGUCUACUCUCUUGUGAUGAAUUGAGUUUCCCCUUUGAAGUUAUCUUAUCGGAUUGAGUCUUCUAUGAAAACACUUGAUGUAUGUCUUGG
This 8950-nucleotide ribosomal RNA is filed under the name Triticum aestivum (bread wheat). Its description in RNAcentral is "partial small subunit ribosomal RNA". Lineage: Eukaryota; Viridiplantae; Streptophyta; Magnoliopsida; Poales; Poaceae. The record is from RNAcentral.